Molecule: ribosomal RNA, 426 nt
Filed under: Triticum aestivum (bread wheat)
Lineage: Eukaryota; Viridiplantae; Streptophyta; Magnoliopsida; Poales; Poaceae
Description: partial small subunit ribosomal RNA
Source: RNAcentral
AUGACCGAAUGGUCAGCAGUACAUGUGAGGAAACCUUCAGCUACGAACACCAGAGAAAUGCAUCGCUGGGCUGCUCCGGAGACGGGAUGGGUCAAAGCCAACGCCGACGGCACCGUCUCCAGAAACGGGGGCAACGGUGCUGGAGGCCUAGUACUCCGGGGUGACCAAGGCGAUUUCCGUGCGGCUGCGUGCAACUUUUUCGCCGGUGUUGCGGACGCCGAGACAACAGAACUUAUGGCGUGCCGACGGGCGGUCGAGCUAGCUAGCGAGAUCAACGUUGAGAAGCUACAUCUGGAGACAGACAGCAAAGUGGUCGCGAGCAUGCUGGGAGACACGAACAAGAACCUGUCGGCAUCGGGGCCGCUAGUAGAGGAAAUUAAGCAGAUGCUUAGUUGGUUCAACGAUGUGAAAGUGUCAUCGGUAUGA